GAGAAGUGAGCUACUUGUCCCUAGCAAAGACGUUUCCAGGGCUAAUAGAGAAAGAAUUAGAAUCAAACCAUAUAGUCAAGAAAGCCAAGAGGACAAUAAGACACAGGAUCCCGCAGCAAGCCCAUGGAAGGAAUAAAAUACGGAUGGAGACACAUACUAACAUAAGGCCACAUGAGGACACAGUGAGAAGUUGGAAGUCUACAACCCAGAAGAGAGCCCUCAACAGAACCUAACCAUGCUGGUACCCUGAUCUCAGACAUCCAGCCUCCAGAAGAGUGAAAAAAUAUAAUUCUUAUUUCUAAGCAACCUAGUCUAUGGUAUUUCAUUAUGGCAGCCCAAGCUAAGACAGCUCCCUAUCCUAUUCACCAUGCUGCAGAGCCACAUGAGCCUCCCUUUUGUUCCUCAAGCUCAUCAAAUCCCUCCUAGCCUUAGAACUUAUUAUUCCCUCUAACCAGAAUUCUCUUCCAGGUCUUUCCAUCCUGUAAGUCUUGUCCUUUAGAUCUAAAUUCACAUGUGACCUCCCCUGAGAACUGUCCUCUGAAAACCUAUCUCAAAGAGUCUUCCCAGUUACUCUCUACCUUACCCCAAGGUUAUUAUCUUCCCACCACUUUUCCACAUUUGUAAUCAUUUGCUUUUCUAUAUGUGUGAUAUGGUUAGGCUUACUAUCCCUACCCAAAUCUCGUGUUAAAUUGUAAUCCCCAGGGAGAUUACAAUUUAGGGAAAGACCUGGUGGGAAGUGAUUGGAUUAUGGGGGUGGGUUCCCCCAUGCUGUUCUUGUGAUAGUGAGUGAAUUCUCAUAAAAUCUAAUGGUUUUGUAAAUGGUGGUUUUUCCUGUGCUGACUCAUUCUCUCUCCUGCUGCCUUGUGAAGAGGUGCCUUCUGCCAUGACUGUAAGUUUCCUGAAGCUUCCCCAACCAUGGGGAACUGUGAGUCAAUUAAACCUCUUUGCUUUAUAAAUUA
Molecule: long non-coding RNA, 959 nt
Organism: Pan troglodytes (chimpanzee)
Lineage: Eukaryota; Metazoa; Chordata; Mammalia; Primates; Hominidae
Exons: 2
Source: RefSeq, a predicted model, not a curated record